GGAGUUGUGGCUCAGCGUAAGAGCACUCGCCUUGCACAUGCGAGGCCCUGAGUUCAAUCCUCAACACCA
This 69-nucleotide transfer RNA is filed under the name Marmota monax (woodchuck). RNAcentral's name for it is "tRNA.Ala". The record is from RNAcentral. Lineage: Eukaryota; Metazoa; Chordata; Mammalia; Rodentia; Sciuridae.